GCGGCCUAUCAGCUUGUUGGCGGGGUAAAAGCCCACCAAGGCUAAGACGGGUAGCUGGUCUGAGAGGACGACCAGCCACACUGGAACUGAGACACGGUCCAGACACCUACGGGUGGCACCAGUCGAGAAUUUUUCACAAUGGGGGAGACCCUGAUGGAGCGACGCCGCGUGGGGGAUGAAGGGCUUCNGUUCGUAAACCCCUGUCAUUGGCGAACAAGUGUUGCAUUCU
Molecule: ribosomal RNA, 229 nt
Filed under: uncultured Verrucomicrobiota bacterium
Lineage: Bacteria; Pseudomonadati; Verrucomicrobiota
Description: uncultured Verrucomicrobia bacterium partial 16S ribosomal RNA
Rfam family: Bacterial small subunit ribosomal RNA
Source: RNAcentral